This 82-nucleotide transfer RNA is filed under the name Umbilicaria muhlenbergii. RNAcentral's name for it is "tRNA-Arg (GCG) (tRNA-Arg-GCG-1-1)". It matches the Rfam family "tRNA". Rfam says of the family: Transfer RNA (tRNA) molecules are approximately 80 nucleotides in length. Their secondary structure includes four short double-helical elements and three loops (D, anti-codon, and T loops). Further hydrogen bonds mediate the characteristic L-shaped molecular structure. tRNAs have two regions of fundamental functional importance: the anti-codon, which is responsible for specific mRNA codon recognition, and the 3' end, to which the tRNAs corresponding amino acid is attached (by aminoacyl-tRNA synthetases). tRNAs cope with the degeneracy of the genetic code in two manners: having more than one tRNA (with a specific anti-codon) for a particular amino acid; and 'wobble' base-pairing, i.e. permitting non-standard base-pairing at the 3rd anti-codon position. Lineage: Eukaryota; Fungi; Ascomycota; Lecanoromycetes; Umbilicariales; Umbilicariaceae. The record is from RNAcentral.
UCUUCAUUGGUCUAGUGGUCAUGAUUGUGAGCCUCCUUCGCCUGCGCCGCGGGAGACCUGGGUUCGAUUCCCAGAUGGAGAG